GACAGAGGCCUCGAGCGUUAGGCGGAAUCACUGGGCUUAAAGCGUGUGUAGGCGGCUCGUUAAGUACCUUGUGAAAUCCCACGGCUCAACCGUGGAACGGCUGGGUAUACUGGCGGUCUUGGGCCAUUCAGGGGCGACUGGAACAAGCGGUGGAGCGGUGAAAUGCGUAGAUAUCGCUUGGAACGCCGAAGGUGAAAACAGGUCGCUGGGGAUGUGCUGACGCUGAGACACGAAAGCCAGGGGAGCAAACGGG
Molecule: ribosomal RNA, 253 nt
Filed under: uncultured bacterium
Lineage: Bacteria
Description: partial 16S ribosomal RNA
Rfam family: Bacterial small subunit ribosomal RNA
Source: RNAcentral